Molecule: long non-coding RNA, 345 nt
Organism: Amphimedon queenslandica
Lineage: Eukaryota; Metazoa; Porifera; Demospongiae; Haplosclerida; Niphatidae
Exons: 2
Source: RefSeq, a predicted model, not a curated record
GUUCUUGUUGAUGCUGUCAUAAUUGGAGUGUCUGUUGUUGUUGGAGUUAUUGGUUUAUGUUGCUGCCUUGGAAUUGCUUUGCAAUUCUGGGCAUAUAUAAGGAAGAAAGCAAAGCACCAUCAUGUUUGUUUUACUAAUGCUGUCACUGAUAACCCUGUCCUAAUAAAGGCAGUUUAAACUCUCUUUAAUAAUAACUUUAUUUUAUUUUGUUGUAUUUGGUUGGUAAUUAGUCUCGCAUAGCCAGACUACACCUGCCAUCCUUUUUUUACCUUUUUAAAAAUUAUUAAUUUUGGCAGCUUAAACUCUCUUUCUUUGAUUAACACACAAUAAUGAUACAUUAUUUAA